UCCCUGGCGGUCCAGUGGUUAAGACUCUGCACUUCCAAUGCAGGGGGUGCAGGUUCAAGCUCUGGUUGGGGAA
Molecule: transfer RNA, 73 nt
Filed under: Bos taurus (domestic cattle)
Lineage: Eukaryota; Metazoa; Chordata; Mammalia; Artiodactyla; Bovidae
Also listed under: 2 other names
Rfam family: tRNA
About the family: Transfer RNA (tRNA) molecules are approximately 80 nucleotides in length. Their secondary structure includes four short double-helical elements and three loops (D, anti-codon, and T loops).
Source: Rfam by way of RNAcentral